Molecule: transfer RNA, 74 nt
Filed under: Candidatus Omnitrophota bacterium
Lineage: Bacteria; Pseudomonadati; Candidatus Omnitrophota
Description: tRNA-Gln
Rfam family: tRNA
About the family: Transfer RNA (tRNA) molecules are approximately 80 nucleotides in length.
Source: RNAcentral
UGCCCGGUGGUGUAAUGGUAGCACCCGAGAAUUUGGAUCUCGUUGUCCAGGUUCGAAUCCUGGCUGGGCAACCA